RNAcentral lists this long non-coding RNA (231 nucleotides) under Solanum tuberosum (potato). Its description in RNAcentral is "long non-coding RNA (STUB_LNC009398)". Lineage: Eukaryota; Viridiplantae; Streptophyta; Magnoliopsida; Solanales; Solanaceae. The record is from RNAcentral.
UUCAUUUUACAUUAAAAAUUGCCCAACUGAACAUGUGAGAAAAUAUUUGGGAUAACUUUCUUAUAGGUGCAUGAAAGAUGAAAAAACAAAUCUUAAAAAUGAAUUCACUGGGCACAUCAGUUCAAUAGUUUAGGUAUGAUACUCGCAAAAUUGUACUUCCUCCGUCUCAAUUUAUAUGACACUAUUCGAAUUUUGACAUUCAGAUAAGUCUAUUUUUGCCGAUAUUUUUUC